Molecule: transfer RNA, 74 nt
Filed under: Gallionellaceae bacterium
Lineage: Bacteria; Pseudomonadati; Pseudomonadota; Betaproteobacteria; Nitrosomonadales; Gallionellaceae
Description: tRNA-Trp
Rfam family: tRNA
About the family: Transfer RNA (tRNA) molecules are approximately 80 nucleotides in length. Their secondary structure includes four short double-helical elements and three loops (D, anti-codon, and T loops).
Source: RNAcentral
GUCCCGCUGGUGUAGUGGCAGCACAGGAAUCUCCAAAAUUCCGAGUGGGAGUUCGAUUCUCUCGCGGGAUGCCA